GCUCCCAUGGCGUAGUGGUCACUGCGCUCGCCUUGCACGCGGGAGACCCGGGUUCGAUUUCCGGCGAGGUCA
Molecule: transfer RNA, 72 nt
Filed under: Diaphorina citri (Asian citrus psyllid)
Lineage: Eukaryota; Metazoa; Arthropoda; Insecta; Hemiptera; Psyllidae
Rfam family: tRNA
About the family: Transfer RNA (tRNA) molecules are approximately 80 nucleotides in length. Their secondary structure includes four short double-helical elements and three loops (D, anti-codon, and T loops). Further hydrogen bonds mediate the characteristic L-shaped molecular structure. tRNAs have two regions of fundamental functional importance: the anti-codon, which is responsible for specific mRNA codon recognition, and the 3' end, to which the tRNAs corresponding amino acid is attached (by aminoacyl-tRNA synthetases). tRNAs cope with the degeneracy of the genetic code in two manners: having more than one tRNA (with a specific anti-codon) for a particular amino acid; and 'wobble' base-pairing, i.e. permitting non-standard base-pairing at the 3rd anti-codon position.
Source: Rfam by way of RNAcentral